This is an unclassified non-coding RNA of Cavia porcellus (domestic guinea pig), 309 nucleotides long. Its record names the gene 7SK. It matches the Rfam family "7SK RNA". Rfam says of the family: 7SK was discovered as an abundant small nuclear RNA in the mid-70s but a possible function has only recently been suggested. Two independent studies have found that 7SK RNA binds the CDK9/cyclin T complex (known as elongation factor P-TEFb). Lineage: Eukaryota; Metazoa; Chordata; Mammalia; Rodentia; Caviidae. The record is from Ensembl.
GGAUGUGAGGGUGAUCUGGCUGCAACAUCUGUCACUUCAUUGAUUGCCAGGCUUGAUUCAGCUGAUCUGGCUGGCUAGGAGGGUGGUCCCUUCCUCCCUCACUGCUCCAUGUGUGUCCCUCUCAAAGCUGUGUGCUCAGCUGAAGGGGGCAAUCACUCCCAACAACAGAGGAGUGAGUGUUUCCUCAGUCAAGGGUAUAUGAGCAACUGUGUUCCUCUGCUAGAAUCUCCAAAGAAGCUCUCAAGAAUAACUAGUAGAAUUCAAUCGGUAAUUCUACCUACAAUAAUUUUGUGGUACAAACAGAAUAUU